CCUACGGGUGUCAGCAGUGAGGAAUAUUGGUCAAUGGGCGUAAGCCUGAACCAGCAAAGUCGCGUGAGGGAUGAAGGUUCUAUGGAUCGUAAACCUCUUUUAUAAGGGAAUACAGUGCGGGAUGUGUCCCGUUCUGUAUGUACCUUAUGAAUAAGGAUCGGCUAACUCCGUGCCAGCAGCCGCGGCAAUACGGAGGAUCCGAGCGUUUUCCGGAUUUAUUGGGUUUAAAGGCUGCGUAGGCUGCCCUGUAAGUCAGCGGUGAAAGUCUGUGGCUCAACCAUAGAAUUGCCGUUGAAACUGGGAGGCUUGAGUAUGUUUGAGGCAGACGGAAUGCGUGGUGUAGCGGUGAAAUGCUUAGAUAUAACGCAGAACACCAGUGGCGAAGGCAGCCUGC
RNAcentral lists this ribosomal RNA (394 nucleotides) under uncultured bacterium. RNAcentral's name for it is "partial 16S ribosomal RNA". It matches the Rfam family "Bacterial small subunit ribosomal RNA", at positions 338 to 729 of the family's 1533-position model. The record is from RNAcentral.